RNAcentral lists this unclassified non-coding RNA (392 nucleotides) under soil metagenome. Its description in RNAcentral is "partial contains 5.8S ribosomal RNA, internal transcribed spacer 2, and large subunit ribosomal RNA". The stretch from base 1 to 122 matches the Rfam family "5.8S ribosomal RNA", at positions 35 to 154 of the family's 154-position model. The record is from RNAcentral.
GAUGAAGAACGUAGCGAAAUGCGAUACUUGGUGUGAAUUGCAGAAUCCCGUGAACCAUCGAGUCUUUGAACGCAAGUUGCGCCCGAAGCCACUAGGCCGAGGGCACGCCUGCCUGGGCGUCACACGCCGUUGCCCCCCCAUCUACUCCUUCGGGAUUGCGGGGGGGCGGAUGAUGGCCUCCCGUGCGCCUAGCCGCGCGGUUGGCAUAAAUACCAAGUCCUCGGCGACGCACGCCACGACAAUCGGUGGUUGCGAAACCUCGGUUGCCCGUCGUGUGCGUUCGUCGCGCAUCGAGGGCUCGAAAAAAUGCUCGGCUCCGGCUGGGCUUUCAACGCGACCCCAGGUCAGGCGGGGUUACCCGCUGAAUUUAAGCAUAUCAAUAAGCGGAAGGA